AGAGUAGUUAUAGAGGUUAUAGAGGGAGUAGUUAUAAGAGGUUAUAGAGGGUGUAGUUAUAGAGGUUAUAGAGGGAGUAGUUAUAGAGGUUAUAGAGGGAGUAGUUAUAGAGGUUAUAGAGGGUGUAGUUAUAGAGGUUAUAGAGGGUGUAGAGGGUGUAGUUAUAGAGGUUAUAGAGGGAGUAGUUAUAGAGGUUAUAGAGGAGUAGUUAUAGAGGUUAUAGAGGGAGUAGUUAUAGAGGUUAUAGAGGGAGUAGUUAUAGAGGUUAUAGAGGGAGUAGUUAUAGAGGUUAUAGAGGGAGUAGUUAUAGAGGUUAUAGAGGGAGUGGUUAUAGAGGGUAUAGGUUAUAGAGGGAGUAGUUAUAGAGGUUAUAGAGGGAGUAGUUAUAGAGGUUAUAGAGGGUGUAGUUAUAGAGGUUAUAGAGGGUAGUAGAGGUUAUAGAGGGAGUAGUUAUAGAGGUUAUAGAGGGAGUAGUUAUAGAGGUUAUAGAGGGAGUAGUUAUAGUAGUUAUAGAGGUUAUAGAGGGAGUAGUUAUAUAG
Ictalurus punctatus (channel catfish) is the source of this 539-nucleotide long non-coding RNA. The record is from Ensembl. NCBI's taxonomy places the organism in Eukaryota, Metazoa, Chordata, Actinopteri, Siluriformes, Ictaluridae.